This 579-nucleotide ribosomal RNA is filed under the name uncultured Gammaproteobacteria bacterium. RNAcentral describes it as "bacterial SSU rRNA". It matches the Rfam family "Bacterial small subunit ribosomal RNA", at positions 8 to 573 of the family's 1533-position model. Lineage: Bacteria; Pseudomonadati; Pseudomonadota; Gammaproteobacteria. The record is from RNAcentral.
AGAGUUUGAUCAUGGCUCAGAUUGAACGCUGGCGGCACGCUUAACACAUGCAAGUCGAACGGCAGCAUAAAUUAACUUCGGUUGGUUUGAUGGCGAGUGGCGAACGGGUGAGUAACGCGUAGGAAUAUGCCUUAAAGAGGGGGAUAACUCGGGGAAACUCGAGCUAAUACCGCGUAAGCUCUACGGAGUAAAGCAUGGGACCAUUUGGCCAUGCGCUUUAAGAAUAGCCUGCGUCCGAUUAGCUAGUUGGUGAGGUAAAGGCUUACCAAGGCGAUGAUCGGUAGCUGGUCUGAGAGGAUGGACAGCCACACUGGGACUGAGACACGGCCCAGACUCCUACGGGAGGCAGCAGUGGGGAAUAUUGGACAAUGGGGGCAACCCUGAUCCAGCGAUGCCGCGUGUGUGAAGAAGGCCUGAGGGUUGUAAAGCACUUUUAGUGGGGAGGAAAGGUAUUGGGUUAAGAGCUAGAUACUGUGACGUUACCCACCAUAAACAGCACCGGCUAACUCCGUGCCAGCAGCCGCGGUAAUACGGGGGGUGCAAGCGUUAAUCGGAGUUAUUGGGCGUAAAGGGUACGUA